ACGCACGCUGGCGGCGUGCUUAACACAUGCAAGUCGAACGGAAAGGCCCUGCUUUUGUGGGGUGCUCGAGUGGCGAACGGGUGAGUAACACGUGAGUAACCUGCCCCUGACUUUGGGAUAACUUCAGGAAACUGGGGCUAAUACCGGAUAGGAGCUCCUGCUGCAUGGUGGGGGUUGGAAAGUUUCGGCGGUUGGGGAUGGACUCGCGGCUUAUCAGCUUGUUGGUGGGGUAGUGGCUUACCAAGGCUUUGACGGGUAGCCGGCCUGAGAGGGUGACCGGCCACAUUGGGACUGAGAUACGGCCCAGACUCCUACGGGAGGCAGCAGUGGGGAAUAUUGCACAAUGGGCGGAAGCCUGAUGCAGCAACGCCGCGUGCGGGAUGACGGCCUUCGGGUUGUAAACCGCUUUCGCCUGUGACGAAGCGUGAGUGACGGUAAUGGGUAAAGAAGCACCGGCUAACUACGUG
This 467-nucleotide ribosomal RNA is filed under the name uncultured bacterium. RNAcentral describes it as "partial 16S ribosomal RNA". It matches the Rfam family "Bacterial small subunit ribosomal RNA", at positions 29 to 507 of the family's 1533-position model. The record is from RNAcentral.